Molecule: non-coding RNA, 77 nt
Organism: Caretta caretta (loggerhead turtle)
Lineage: Eukaryota; Metazoa; Chordata; Testudines; Cheloniidae
Source: the annotation of a RefSeq genome assembly
GGAGCUGGGAUGUAGCUCAGUGGUAGAGCACAUGCUUUGCAUGUAUGAGGCCCUGGGUUCAAUCCCCAGCGUCUCCA